RNAcentral lists this ribosomal RNA (253 nucleotides) under uncultured bacterium. RNAcentral describes it as "partial 16S ribosomal RNA". It matches the Rfam family "Bacterial small subunit ribosomal RNA", at positions 524 to 776 of the family's 1533-position model. The record is from RNAcentral.
UACGGAGGGAGCUAGCGUUGUUCGGAAUUACUGGGCGUAAAGCGCACGUAGGCGGCUUUGUAAGUUAGAGGUGAAAGCCUGGAGCUCAACUCCAGAACUGCCUUUGAUACUGCAUGGCUUGAAUCCAGGAGAGGUGAGUGGAAUUCCGAGUGUCGAGGUGAAAUUCGUAGAUAAUCGGAAGAACACCAGUGGCGAAGGCGGCUCACUGGACUGGUAUUGACGCUGAGGUGCGAAAGCGUGGGGAGCAAACAGG